Non-coding RNA from Sciurus carolinensis (gray squirrel), 476 nucleotides. The record is from the annotation of a RefSeq genome assembly. NCBI's taxonomy places the organism in Eukaryota, Metazoa, Chordata, Mammalia, Rodentia, Sciuridae.
GCCCUCUAGAUUGCUGCAUCAAAAGGACCAAGAAAGAGACUUUUCUGGUUAUACAAUUCCAGGCAGCAUUUCGGGUAUCAAGACAAAGUGUCAGGAUGGAGAAGAUGCAGGGAUCUGUGCUAAUUAUAUGUUGGCUUCAUCUUGGCUGGGUGAAAGGCGGAAACCAGGUGGAGCAGAGUCCUCGUUCCCUGAGACCCCUCGAGGGAGACAUCACCUCCAUGAGCUGCACUCACUCAGUCAGUGGUUUUACUAAUCUGCAGUGGUACAGGCAGGAUUCAGGGACAGGCCUCAAACACCUCUUUUCCAUGUAUUCAGCUGGAGAGGUGAAGCAGAAGGGAAGACUACAAGCCACGUUACUGAAGGAUGGGAGCAGCCUGAACAUCACCCCCGUGCUGCAUGGAGACUCAGCCACCUACUUCUGUGCUGUAGUCACACAGUACUACGCAGGCACCUGUGACCUGCACCCAAAUCUAUAG